Echinostoma caproni is the source of this 45-nucleotide non-coding RNA. The record is from Rfam. Lineage: Eukaryota; Metazoa; Platyhelminthes; Trematoda; Plagiorchiida; Echinostomatidae.
GGACAGCUGAUGAUUCCCAAACAGGACGAAACAGCUGUCCAGUGC